CUCUUCCUCAGAAGAGAGGCAGAAGCACUCACUGGCUUUCGCGGUGCUGGCCUGGGUUUUAAUACCAAUCUAGCCUCUCAGUGAUUGAGCCAAGGUUACUUUGGUCAUGGUGUUUCAUUGAAGCAAUAGUAAAUCUAAGACAACAUCUCAUGGUCCUGUCAUCUCCAGCAUCUAGGAGGUCUUCAUUGUAACUCAGGCUUUACCUGUAGUGUUUCAUAAAAUGGCCUCUCAGGACUUUCUGGAGACUGGCCAUCCUGGCAGACACUUUUAGAGAAGGAAACUCAAAGAAAGCCCUGCAGUGGGAGUCUGUACUGGCAACACCAGCUUUGCCUACUAUAGGAAACACCCUGGGGAACAUACCGGUGAGAAGUGCAAACAAAAU
RNAcentral lists this long non-coding RNA (382 nucleotides) under Cricetulus griseus (Chinese hamster). RNAcentral's name for it is "lncRNA (ENSCGRG00015039654.1)". The record is from RNAcentral. Lineage: Eukaryota; Metazoa; Chordata; Mammalia; Rodentia; Cricetidae.